GAUGAAGAACGCAGCGAAAUGCGAUAAGUAGUGUGAAUUGCAGAAUUCAGUGAAUCAUCGAAUCUUUGAACGCACAUUGCGCCCCUUGGUAUUCCAUGGGGCAUGCCUGUUCGAGCGUCAUUUACACCCUCAAGCUCUGCUUGGUGUUGGGCGUCUGUCCCGCUGCUUUGCGCGGACUCGCCUCAAAGGUAUUGGCAGCGAUCAUGCCAGCUUCUCGCGCAGCACAUUGCGCUUCUUGAAGUUCUGGUGGAUCAGCGUCCAUUAAGCUUACCUUCACGACUUGACCUCGGAUCAGGUAGGGAUACCCGCUGAACUUAAGCAUAUCAAUAAGCGGAGGA
RNAcentral lists this unclassified non-coding RNA (338 nucleotides) under soil metagenome. RNAcentral's name for it is "partial contains 5.8S ribosomal RNA, internal transcribed spacer 2, and large subunit ribosomal RNA". The stretch from base 1 to 120 matches the Rfam family "5.8S ribosomal RNA", at positions 35 to 154 of the family's 154-position model. The record is from RNAcentral.